UUGACCUCGGAUCAGGUAGGGUUACCCGCUGAACUUAAGCAUAUCAAUAAGCGGAGGAAAAGAAACCAACAGGGAUUGCCUCAGUAACGGCGAGUGAAGCGGCAACAGCUCAAAUUUGAAAUCUGGUCCUUCGGGGCCCGAGUUGUAAUUUGCAGAGGAUGCUUUUGGCGCGGUGCCUUCCGAGUGCCCUGGAACGGGACGCCACAGAGGGUGAGAGCCCCGUAUGGUUGGACACCAAGCCUAUGUAAAGCUCCUUCGACGAGUCGAGUAGUUUGGGAAUGCUGCUCAAAAUGGGAGGUAAACCCCUUCUAAAGCUAAAUACUGGCCAGAGACCGAUAGCGCACAAGUAGAGUGAUCGAAAGAUGAAAAGCACUUUGAAAAGAGAGUUAAAAAGCACGUGAAAUUGUUGAAAGGGAAGCGUUUGCGACCAGACUUGCGCCCGUCGAAUCAACCGUCCCUCGUGGGCGGUGCACUUCGGCGGGCUCAGGCCAGCAUCAGUUUACUGUAGGGGGAGAAAGGCGCUGGGAAUGUGGCUCUUCGGAGUGUUAUAGCCCGGCGCGUAAUACCCCUCGGUGGACUGAGGACCGCGCGAAAGCAAGGAUG
RNAcentral lists this ribosomal RNA (603 nucleotides) under Lophotrichus sp. 1 RJ2014. RNAcentral's name for it is "eukaryotic LSU rRNA". It matches the Rfam family "Eukaryotic large subunit ribosomal RNA", at positions 1 to 625 of the family's 3401-position model. The record is from RNAcentral. Lineage: Eukaryota; Fungi; Ascomycota; Sordariomycetes; Microascales; Microascaceae.